Molecule: ribosomal RNA, 669 nt
Filed under: uncultured Caulobacteraceae bacterium
Lineage: Bacteria; Pseudomonadati; Pseudomonadota; Alphaproteobacteria; Caulobacterales; Caulobacteraceae
Description: bacterial SSU rRNA
Rfam family: Bacterial small subunit ribosomal RNA
Source: RNAcentral
AGUCGAACGGUCCUUCGGGAUAGUGGCGGACGGGUGAGUAACACGUGGGAACGUACCCUUAGGUUCGGAACAACACAGGGAAACUUGUGCUAAUACCGGAUGAGCCCUUCGGGGGAAAGAUUUAUCGCCUUUGGAGCGGCCCGCGUCUGAUUAGCUUGUUGGUGAGGUAAUGGCUCACCAAGGCUACGAUCAGUAGCUGGUCUGAGAGGAUGGCCAGCCACACUGGGACUGAGACACGGCCCAGACUCCUACGGGAGGCAGCAGUGGGGAAUCUUGCGCAAUGGGCGAAAGCCUGACGCAGCCAUGCCGCGUGGUUGAUGAAGGUCUUAGGAUUGUAAAAUCCUUUCACCGGGGACGAUAAUGACGGUACCCGGAGAAGAAGCCCCGGCUAACUUCGUGCCAGCAGCCGCGGUAAUACGAAGGGGGCUAGCGUUGCUCGGAAUUACUGGGCGUAAAGGGCGCGUAGGCGGACAGUUAAGUUGGGGGUGAAAGCCCGGGGCUCAACCUCGGAAUUGCCUUCAAUACUGGCUGUCUUGAGUACGGGAGAGGUGAGUGGAACUCCGAGUGUAGAGGUGAAAUUCGUAGAUAUUCGGAAGAACACCAGUGGCGAAGGCGACUCACUGGCCCGUUACUGACGCUGAGGCGCGAAAGCGUGGGGAGCAAACAGGA